AACCGCCGUGUACGGGUCCGUAUGCACGGUGGUGUGAGAGGUCGGGGAUUAUUUAUCCCCUCUUACUCGAU
This 71-nucleotide unclassified non-coding RNA is filed under the name Evansella caseinilytica. The record is from RNAcentral. Lineage: Bacteria; Bacillati; Bacillota; Bacilli; Caryophanales; Bacillaceae.